RNAcentral lists this unclassified non-coding RNA (1920 nucleotides) under uncultured fungus. RNAcentral describes it as "sequence contains 18S rRNA gene, ITS1, 5.8S rRNA gene, ITS2, 28S rRNA gene". The stretch from base 808 to 1920 matches the Rfam family "Eukaryotic large subunit ribosomal RNA", at positions 1 to 961 of the family's 3401-position model. The record is from RNAcentral. Lineage: Eukaryota; Fungi.
UGCUGGAUCAUUACCUUGUCGUCGACACUGACAAAGUUUUGUCUUGUGGUGCCGUGUUGCCGUCGGGGCUGGCGUUCAGAUCGGACUUGUGCCUGUCCGUUGCGCGCUGGCUCCGGUGGGUCCACGACUUCACCACUGUUCUGUGGACGAGUAUGUGAGGCGCCCGGCCGCUGGGCAAAUGGUGAGCAGCUUCCGUCCUGGAUUCAGGCUCUCGCCAAGACUUCAUGCCCCACAUACGACUAACGGCUGCGCUGGAUCCUAAGCAUCACCCGAGCAGUUGUGCCGCAAAGUCCGUGACUGCGUGGUAGGGUGUUGUGGUAGACCCUGGUGUGCCCGCCUUGGCCCAGGAGUAGGAUUAAUGAGUACCCAGUUCGGGGUGCCGCCAGCGAACAAUCUUCCAACUCAAUUUUUCCAACAAACAAAAACUAUAUUAGUCUUGCCGGUGGAUCACUCGGCUCGUAGGUCGAUGAAGAUCGCAUCCAAAUGCGAUAGUUAGUGUGAACUGCAGAUAUUCUGAGCACCAAAAUGUCGAAUGCACAUUGCGCCUUGGGACCUCCAUCCCUAGGCACGCCUGGUUCAGGGUCGUUUCUUCAAACAAAGAGCCGUUCCGCUCUUAGCACGACCCGGCGCUAGCAGCCAAGCCGCAUGGCAGCUACGUGCCGGGCCUUCAGUGUUCUGUGCUGUGGACAGCUGCCGCUCAGGGGCAACACGGCCGGUCUUGCAAACACUUGUCUCUCCUUCACGGGGGGCAAUGACCGGUCGUUGGACUCUGCCUAGUGUCGGUGGCUGUCUGCCUCAUUCGUUUUCCGACCUGAACUCAGACGUGAUUACCCGCUGAACUUAAGCAUAUCAGUAAGCGGAGGAAAAGAAACUAACAAGGAUUCCCUUAGUAACGGCGAGUGAACCGGGAUCAGUCCAGCGCUAAAUCUCGUCGUUUCGGCGGCGCGAAAUGUAGCGUAUAGGCAGUGUGCUUGGCCAUGGCUCUGGGCACAAGUUUCCCAUGACCGGGGCGCCAGAGAAGGUGAUAGACCUGUAGCGUCCGGAGCCUAGGCUGACUGCUCUGUCUUGGAGUCGGGUUGUUUGGGAUCGCAGCCCAAAGCAGGUGGUAUACUUCAUCUAAGACUAAAUAUCCCUACGAGACCGAUAGCAAACAAGUACCGUGAGGGAAAGUUGCAAAGCACUUUGAAGAGAGAGUUAAAGAGGACGUGAAACCGGUAGGAUGGAAACGGAUAGAGCCAGCGAAGUCGCUCGUAUUCAGCCAAAGGCCGGUGGCAUCGGUGGGUCGGGUUGCUAAUCACGCCUGGCCAGCCUUUUGUCCACCGGUUGAGGUGCAUUUGCGGGCGUUUGCGCUGAGACUUGCGAGUCAGCUUCUGGACCCGGGCCUAGAGGCCGUCCUCUGGGCGGAACCUUGGCACGGCGACGGUUGUUUGGCCUGCUCGUACCACGGCUUGGCCUACGGACCUGGGCGGCUGGUGUCGUCUGCUUGUGGUGGCAUCGCAUGCGAUGACCCACCUGUGGGCGGCUCAGUCGUUUGGCGUUCCCAAGUCGGCUCUCGGUGUAAAAGCUGGUCACCUAUCCGACCCGUCUUGAAACACGGACCAAGGAGUUUAGCGUAUGCGCGAGCCAUUGGGUGUUCAAAACUCACAGGCACAAUGAAAGUGAAGGCCCAGCCGCUGGGCUGACAUGCGAGUUGGCGGCUCACGGGCCGUCGAUGCAGCAUGGUCCCAUUUCGGUCGCUUGCGACGGAGUGGAGACAGAGCGUAUGCGCUGAGACCCGAAAGAUGGUGAACUAUUCCUGAGCAGGAUGAAGCCAGAGGAAACUCUGGUGGAAGUCCGAAGCGAUUCUGACGUGCAAAUCGAUCGUCUGACUUGGGUAUAGGGGCGAAAGACUAAUCGAACCAUCUAGUAGCUGGUUCCCUU